UCUUGUGGCUGGAAGUUUUGACCACAGC
Molecule: non-coding RNA, 28 nt
Filed under: Rattus norvegicus (Norway rat)
Lineage: Eukaryota; Metazoa; Chordata; Mammalia; Rodentia; Muridae
Source: RNAcentral